RNAcentral lists this ribosomal RNA (439 nucleotides) under uncultured bacterium. RNAcentral's name for it is "partial 16S ribosomal RNA". It matches the Rfam family "Bacterial small subunit ribosomal RNA", at positions 339 to 795 of the family's 1533-position model. The record is from RNAcentral.
CUACGGGGCGCUCCAGUGGGGAAUAUUGGACAAUGGGCGAAAGCCUGAUCCAGCCAUGCCGCGUGAGUGAUGAAGGCCCUAGGGUUGUAAAGCUCUUUCAGUGGUGAAGAUAAUGACGGUAACCACAGAAGAAGCCCCGGCUAACUUCGUGCCAGCAGCCGCGGUAAUACGAAGGGGGCUAGCGUUGUUCGGAUUUACUGGGCGUAAAGCGCACGUAGGCGGAUUGGUAAGUUAGGGGUGAAAUCCCGGAGCUCAACUCCGGAACUGCCUUUAAUACUGCCAGUCUUGAGUCCGAGAGAGGUGAGUGGAAUUCCUAGUGUAGAGGUGGAAUUCGUAGAUAUUAGGAAGAACACCAGUGGCGAAGGCGGCUCACUGGCUCGGUACUGACGCUGAGGUGCGAAAGCGUGGGGAGCAAACAGGAUUAGAUACCCUCGUAGUC